CCCCCCGGAAAUCGGCCGGACUGCUAAGCCAACUCCUCCCUGCUUCGUCCAUCCUCGCUUUGCCCCUCCCAUCUACUUUUUCCUCACAAGAUUCGGAACCCAGGUCCCAUAUACAAAAUAUGCCCUGCUUCACCCCUCUCAUCUACCACUUCUAAACCCAGAUCCUGCAAAAUUCAAAACAAAAAAGACAAAAAAUUAGGCAAUAUUACCAUUUUGCAAAACCAGAUCCAAAUCCAAAAUUCUAAACCAAAAAAAAAAAAAAAAUUUACAAAAAUCUUUAGCUUCUGAAACGCACAGCAGUCGCUUUAAUCACAGUGCACCUAGUCCAAACUCCCUGAUCCCAAACCUUCGCCAUUGACGCUAGAGAAGUAAACCCAUUAAUACCCAGGUGACCCAGACUUUGAUUUGGGUUCUGAUUCGCUAAUUGGGUCCCAGAAAAAUUAGGAAGAAAAGAGGGAGAUGAAUGGAGAGAAAUAGGAAAAAAAAGAUGGAGAUGAAGAGGGAGAUGGAUGAAGAGAAAGAGGGAGAG
RNAcentral lists this long non-coding RNA (529 nucleotides) under Malus domestica (apple). RNAcentral describes it as "long non-coding RNA (MDOM_LNC006898)". The record is from RNAcentral. Lineage: Eukaryota; Viridiplantae; Streptophyta; Magnoliopsida; Rosales; Rosaceae.